GACGAACGCUGGCGGCGUGCUUAACACAUGCAAGUCGAACGGAAAGGCCCUGCUUUUGUGGGGUGCUCGAGUGGCGAACGGGUGAGUAACACGUGAGUAACCUGCCCUUGACUUUGGGAUAACUUCAGGAGACUGGGGCUAAUACCGGAUAGGAGCUCCUGCUGCAUGGUGGGGGUUGGAAAGUUUCGGCGGUUGGGGAUGGACUCGCGGCUUAUCAGCUUGUUGGUGGGGUAGUGGCUUACCAAGGCUUUGACGGGUAGCCGGCCUGAGAGGGUGACCGGCCACAUUGGGACUGAGAUACGGCCCAGACUCCUACGGGAGGCAGCAGUGGGGAAUAUUGCACAAUGGGCGGAAGCCUGAUGCAGCAACGCCGCGUGCGGGAUGACGGCCUUCGGGUUGUAAACCGCUUUCGCCUGUGACGAAGCGUGAGUGACGGUAAUGGGUAAAGAAGCACCGACUAACUACGUG
This 468-nucleotide ribosomal RNA is filed under the name uncultured bacterium. RNAcentral describes it as "partial 16S ribosomal RNA". It matches the Rfam family "Bacterial small subunit ribosomal RNA", at positions 28 to 507 of the family's 1533-position model. The record is from RNAcentral.